Molecule: non-coding RNA, 665 nt
Organism: Cajanus cajan (pigeon pea)
Lineage: Eukaryota; Viridiplantae; Streptophyta; Magnoliopsida; Fabales; Fabaceae
Source: RefSeq, a predicted model, not a curated record
UAACAAAACACUUUCUCUCACUAUUUUCUGUUAAUCUUAGCGUUUCAAUUUUCUCGUAUAGGCUUUAUCUAUUUACUGUCAUGAUUAUGUUUUCCUGUCGUAAUUUAGCGUUUAGAACUAAUCAAAUUUGGAGGAUUGGAAGGGAAGAGAAGAUGAGUUUCAUUAUGGAAUUCGCGGAGAACUUGAUUUUGAGGAUUAUGGAAGAUCCGAAGGAGAGGGAUCGUAGGUUCAGGGAGCACGUUUAUAAAGUGAAGAAGAGGUGCGAGAAGACGAAGGAGAUGUGGAGCUACCCAAUGCGACCCUAUGGUUUUUGGACAUUCGAACGCCACAAUUCUCAGCUUGCAUGGGAUGCCCAAAUUAGGCAUGUGGCUGGGAGAAGGGAUCCUUAUGAUGAUCUCCUCCAACAUUACUCUACCCCACCUCAAUGAGUGUUGCUGAACUUGCCACAAGCAUUAUAGGUGCAAAAAGAUGAAGUUGUCAUAUUUCCCCCUUUUAAUAUCCUGUCUUCUUGCAUGUUGUAUGUUGCAGAAGUUACAAAUGGUUUGUAUUGAUCUAAACUAUUAUUUCAAAUAAAGGUUCCGUAUAACUAUGGUGCUAAAACAAGAAUUUUCCCCUCGAGAAUUUACAUUCUUUCACUAUUGCACUUCCUGGCAAUUUUUCUGUUC